CACCCCGUGCACCAGUAGCACCCGGCUGCCCGGGCCCCAACAAGCAGCUCUGUUUCUGUUUGGACCCGCAAGAGACAGCCACGUUCUCAGGAACAGUGACAUCUAGAAGCUUGCUGCAGUAUGAGUGUGGUCAGGAUCUCUGAGCCGAUGUGAACCUCUAUGCACUAUUGGAUCUCAGUGCAGAUCACAGGAGGCGAGCAGAGGGGAAAGGGCCCUAGGUGAGGAGCACCACUUCCACCCUCUCCUCUCCUCCCUACCUUUCUCCCUUUUUCUAAACCUACA
RNAcentral lists this long non-coding RNA (282 nucleotides) under Bos taurus (domestic cattle). Its description in RNAcentral is "long non-coding RNA NONBTAT009839". Lineage: Eukaryota; Metazoa; Chordata; Mammalia; Artiodactyla; Bovidae. The record is from RNAcentral.